GACGAACGCUGGCGGCGUGCUUAACACAUGCAAGUCGAACGGAAAGGCCUCUUUCGGGGGGUACUCGAGUGGCGAACGGGUGAGUAACACGUGAGUAACCUGCCCUUGACUUUGGGAUAACUUCAGGAAACUGGGGCUAAUACCGGAUAGGAGCUCCUGCUGCAUGGUGGGGGUUGGAAAGUUUCGGCGGUUGGGGUUGAACUCGCGGCUUAUCAGCUUGUUGGUGGGGUAGUGGCUUACAAAGGCUUUGACGGGUAGCCGGCCUGAGAGGGUGACCGGCAAAAUUGGGACUGAGAUACGCCCAAGACUCCAACGGGGGGAGGCAGGGGGGAUUUUUGCACAUUGGGCGGAACCCGGAUGAGGAAACGCCGGGUGCGGGAGAACGGCCUUCGGUUGGUAACCGCUUUCGGUCAUGACGGAGCUUUGUGUGACGGUAGUGGGUAAAGAAGCACCGGCUAACUACGUG
RNAcentral lists this ribosomal RNA (466 nucleotides) under uncultured bacterium. RNAcentral describes it as "partial 16S ribosomal RNA". It matches the Rfam family "Bacterial small subunit ribosomal RNA", at positions 28 to 507 of the family's 1533-position model. The record is from RNAcentral.